CCCUGGGCAGCCCCACCGCCGCUGUGGCCUAGUUGCCACCACAGCCCGGGAGGAGCCCAGGCACCGUCACCCCCGCCGUUUGGGGAACAAAUGGUUCAGGGUAAGCAACAGAUACGGUUUCAUCAACAGGAACGUCACCAAGGAAGAUGUGUGUUCAUCAGACUGCCGUGAAGGAGAACCCCGGGGAGGACCCUGGCGGCGGGGGAGCUGCGGAGGCCGCGGAGUCCGAUGUUGAGGGAGAAAAGGGCGAGGCGGCGGCAAGUGUUCCAGGGCCUGGUGGGGCCCAGGUCAAGGCAGUAAACCUGCGGCCACCGUAACCACUGCAGACGCGGGACCUCCCCGCCGUCACCGGCAGAAUCACCAGAAUCCUCCGUGGGGAACGGAAGGAGGGAUGAGACAGCGCUGCCGCGGGCCAGGCCCACCACGCGGGCCCCACCGCAGAGUCCCACUUUCCUCCAUGGAGGCCGCAGUUCUCCAGCCUCCGGGGCGGCCGGGAGCAGCGAUGCGGGGGUGACAGCGCGGGGAGCGGGGACACCAGCGGGGCAGCGAGUGUACCGGGGACGCAGACCACGAUUCCGCAGGACCCACCUCACCCAAGACGGCCUGUAGAGGACAGCGAGGAAGAGGAUAAAGACAAUCCGGGAGAUGAGACCCAAGGUCACCAGCCACCUCAGCACCGGGGCCGCCGCAACUUCGAUUACCGACGCGGUCGCACAGAAAACCCUAAACCACAAGAUGGCAAAGACACAGAAGCAGCUGAUCCACCAGCUGAGAAUUCCUCGCUCCAGGCUGGGCAAAUGCGGCUGCU
This 808-nucleotide long non-coding RNA is filed under the name Homo sapiens (human). RNAcentral's name for it is "non-protein coding lnc-GALNT11-2:1". Lineage: Eukaryota; Metazoa; Chordata; Mammalia; Primates; Hominidae. The record is from RNAcentral.